RNAcentral lists this ribosomal RNA (328 nucleotides) under uncultured eukaryote. RNAcentral describes it as "partial 18S ribosomal RNA". It matches the Rfam family "Eukaryotic small subunit ribosomal RNA", at positions 1470 to 1796 of the family's 1831-position model. The record is from RNAcentral.
CCCUUAGACGUUCUGGGCCGCACGCGCGCUACACUGACGGAGCCAGCGAGUAUAAACCUUGGCCGAGAGGUCUGGGAAAUCUUGUGAAACUCCGUCGUGCUGGGGAUAGAGCAUUGUAAUUAUUGCUCUUCAACGAGGAAUUCCUAGUAAGCGCAAAUCAUCAGCUUGCGUUGAUUACGUCCCUGCCCUUUGUACACACCGCCCGUCGCUACUACCGAUUGAAUGGCUUAGUGAGGCUUCCGGAUUGGUUUAGAGAAGGGGGCAACUCCAUCUUGGAACCGAGAAGCUAGUCAAACUUGGUCAUUUAGAGGAAGUAAAAGUCGUAACA